UUAUGGAGUCCUGUGUGUGAUUUUCUUUGGGACUUGCCGGCUGUGAGGUACCGAGUGAGACAGAUACCCCAACAAGCCGGCCCCUCAUGUUACACCAUAUGGGGCCUGGGUUGUGAGGGCUCAGUUCUACAGGACACCAAGCCUCCUGUUUGCAGGGGACACAGGGGUUUCCUGGAUGUGAGGCUGCUAAUUUUUCAGGGAAGAGCCUGAAAAACCAGAGGGUGGUCUUGCUGCUAAGCCACACAUAGUGGCAUAUGGUCCCAAAUUGGUCAGUUUGGGGUCAGAGGAAAGAGAUGCUCUCUGGUAGGACACUCUGCCUGAUAUUCCAGGACAGGAACACACGGGACCAUAGGCUGUGACCCCCAGGCCCUGGGGUGUAUUGGUGGUCAGAAGAUGAGUUCUGAAAGGCCAAGGUCCUAAGGGAAGUCAUGUGGUAGCUACUGCUGUCUGUUUUACCUCUGUGGUGGCAUGUGUCACACAUGUCUCUGCCCUUAGGGAGAGUCAUUCAGUCCAGCUACAGAGCAAGGGUGAUUGCACAGGGCAGAGCUGUGCCAAUGAGGUAGUUUUUGGCACCUCACAGAGCCCUCAGAUCUUUUUUAAAAACACUUGUCUCUGGGACAGAAAGGUGAACUUCUUGCAGAAACCAUGCUAGGUGCAGGGUGAGGACCUGGUGUGGACAGACUGCAGCUAGCAGCGGGGACCCCGGGGAAUGCUGGGGCAUGCGACAACAGGUCUGUCUGUCCUUCCAUAGCUUUUUCUGCUAAAUGUUUACAGGCUGAGUGGCUCCUGCCAUAGAUACAGAUGGCCUGGGGCUGAUCUUCUGAGGUCAGAAGGUAGAGCUGGGGUUGGCACGUGUGGCUGACCCACUGUAGAAGCUUCCUCCUGAGGGGGCAGCUGGAGGUGGUAGUUGGUAUCAGGAAGUUCAUCAAGUCUGGUGACAUCCUCAGGAUGGGUCUUCGAGCAGACUCACCUGGCUACUGGGUAUAUCCAGCUUACUGAGCAUGAGAAGCAAUGCCAUCUCUGACAGCAAGGAUUUCUCAGUGUCCGGAUCUGUCUAGAAACACUGGAAAUGGGAGGUAGGUACAGUUGGGGAACCUGGGAAACAAUUUGAAAAUGUGACUUUAUCACUGGUAUGGACUCGUAGAUCCAGGCACUUGCAGCAGGGGAGACUGAUGGGCUCGGAAUCCUGGGUACGUGACUCACAAGGAAGCCUCGCACUAUCAAGUCUCAUUUUUAAAGCCUGUCAGGAGGCCACCAGGCGCAGCAAUGAGAAGCCAAAUGACUUCCAGUUAGUUUAACUUUCCUUUUCUCCUUAUCGCUCAAAAUCAAACAUCCAAAAAGACACCCCAAUUGGCCCGAGGCCUGAACACGAUGUAUUAUAAGAAACCUCUCUCAUAGGUAUCAGGAGGCCCAGACGAGGUUCUGCCAGGAAGCCAGGAGGAAGCCGAGCGCUGGAAACACACGGAGAUUCUGGGGCCUUGCACACAGAGCUGGUGGGAAGAUGACAUGGGGCCCUGCCAUAGAAAAUACUCUGUGUGCCACAUGCAAAGAUAUGGUGUGUAGCUCAGCGGUCGAGUGCUCAUAUAGCACACGCAAAGAGAUAACUGUUUGUGGGGACACUGAACCACCUGUUUCUGAGGGCCCCAGGGUGACCUUUGAUGCUGAUGAUUGUGGUUGCCUGAAGACCCAGGUACCACAGAUCCACUGGAGGGAAUUGGCCUCUCCUUCAGGAAGGAUGCUGUGCCACAGGCACUUCCACAGUGAGUUCUGGUACCGGUCCUGCAUUGCUGACUUUCACAUUUCCAACCUAUACCCAGCAGUACGUGACCAUGCGGGGGGUGAGUGAAUGUCUCCGGUUGCUAGGCAUCUUCCACCACAGGCAGAUGAGUGGUGGUGUUAAGGGCAAUGAGUGAGUCAAUCGAGGAUGUGGUGGUUUGACUCCGUAUGGCUCCUAAGACACCUGUGUGUGAAUACUUGGCCCACAGAGUGUGGCGCUAACAAAAGGUGUGGCCCUGUUGGAAGAAGUGAGUCACUUGGGGGCAGGCGUUGAAGUCUCAUAUACUCAAGCUGUGCCCAGUGUGAUAAACAGUCUCUCCCUGCUGCCUGUGGAUCAAGGUGUAGAACUCUUAGCUCCUUCUCUGACACCAUGUCUGUCUGCAUGCAGCUAUGCUUUCUACCUUGAUGAUCAUGGACUAAACCUCUGAACUGCAAGCUACCCCUAUUUAAUGUUUUUCUUUAUAAGAGGUGCCAUGGUCACAUUUUGUCUUCCAGGAUGCUCUCUGCUCCCACUGAGCCAGAGGUGCAGGUUCCCGCAGGUGAGGCUGUGUACACAGGCAAGUCACAUGUCUAAACUGGGUGGCCAGCAAGCAGUCAUCACCCGCUGCUGGUCCUGGUCCUGCCUUUUCUUCCUCCUUCCUCAUCUCAUAUGACACUUCCUCUUCCGUCUGUGUGCUGGUUGACAUCUGAAGGGUUACCCUUCCCACUGCUCCGACCAUCUGACCACAUAGGACCUCACUGGCUGGCUACCUCCACUCACACAUACUUCAGCUAGAGUCUGAUUGCUGAGAGAGACGCUAACGAGAAAGUUCCUGAGUGGGAACCCAGAACAAAACAACACAGGCAAAACCCGUGGCCAUGGGGUUGUGUAGCUGCCUGGCUGCCUCUGCCUGGGCCUUAGAUACUGAAGAGCAGAGGUAACUAUAGGUCAGGGCUGGGGACAUUUGAGUGAGGUAUCCUCAGAUGUUUGUUUGCCUGGGUUCUGACUGUGUCAGGGGCUCUACUCUCGGGUCUUGCAGUUCCUAUAUCUUCUGCCAGUGUCUUGUUCUUUGUCUUUGGGGGUUUAGAGACCUCUUCCUUAAAUGCCCUUAGUGAGCUUCGUUAGAAAUGCUCUCUCAAGGGACCAAAGUGUUUGCUGUCACUGGGACCACAGAUACCCUGACCUGUACCCCUCCAUCACCUCACCUGGUUAUACCUAAUCUGGAGUGUUUCUUUAUAGAGGCAUCAACUGGUGAGAACUGCAGAGGUGGACAGGACAUGUCCUGUUUUGGCUAGCACUUCUGGCCAAGAACCCAGGCUUGGGCCUGGCAGAGAGAUAGGGAAGACAGUCCAUGAAGGAUUAGGAUCUAUUUGGGUGGCCACCUCUCCAAGCGUUCCUCUGGCUUUGGAGCUAAGGCUGGGAAAGACAUAUCAAGGGCAUUGUUAACAUAACCAGGAUGACUUCUACUGACUACAAGUGGAACUUUUUGAUUAAUACUAAUCAUAUUAAUGUUCUUACUUGUAUAUGUGGAGAAAUACUUGAGAGUACAGGUGGCUUUUCUUCUAAUUUAUUCUAAAUAGACAGAAAUGAAAAUGGGUGUUCUCGGCCACUUCCUACCAUCCACAGAAAAGCCCAGAGCCCUGUGGACAUCUGAGGGGAGGGAAGGGACAGCAAGAUUUGUUGGGUGCCACUGGGUCAGCUAGUGCUAAGCCUCAUCCCCACCACCAUCUGUGCACACAGACUGAUACGGCUGAGAGUUAGAAGCUCUGUGGGACACCCUUCACCCCAAGUGUGGGUCCUGGCCGGUGGCUCUGCAUACUGAGAUGGCAUAAAAGGCUUCUUUGUUUCCUAAGAUGGGCAGGCCUCCAUCCUGGACCACAGGCUCCGUUUCAGUGACUGUGAGGAUCUGUCAAGGGAAUGUUUCCACAGGAAAUCACCUCUCUCCACCCUACCAUGCCUCAAGCAGCAUUGUACAUGCGGCCACGGCCACAUGGGUGGGAGUCCCAGGCACAGUUCCUGCAUGUCCCAGGUGUCCAUUCAAAACACAGAAUGGAGAAACUCAGCAAGGGACAUGUCACAUCACAAGUGGCUACCAUCCCUGAUGGACACUGUCAAGUAUUAGCAAAAAUAUGGAGAGACUGUAGCCCUUACUGUGGGAGAGUCAAAUGGUCAGCCACCAUGGAACAUGGCUUGAAAAUCCCCUGUGAAAAGGUAACCCCAGAGCUGGCACAAGAGCCACUGCCAAGGAUGUACCCGGCAGGGAUGAAGACACCUGGCCACCUAACAGCUUUUACAAGGCGGACAGAACAAUACAGGUCACAUUUGCCAGUAACAACAGCUUGGAUAUCCAUCGAUGGAGGAAUGGAAAAUGGCUACAGAAAGCUAUUUGACCCUCACAAGACACUUAGCGGAUACGGUGGCUGAACUGUGAAGUCUUAUGACAAGCAGAGAAGGUUUAGUUAUGAGUCUGUCACAGGAGGGCUUCUCCUAUAUGAAACAUUUGCCCUGGCCAAUCCGGAGACAGAAUAAUAAACUGGACACUUCCAGGGACAGAAGGAGGCUCAAACUCGGGUCCCUAUAUUGAUGCAGCAAACACUUACAUCUGAGCUAUGACUGAAGUCCCAAUCUGCAGACUUAGGCUGUUAGGAGCUGGGGCUUUUUUGAGGAAGAAGUCCGCUGAGCUAUGCCUUUGGCAGGAAGAUCUCAUCCUCAUUUCUUCCUGUGUUCCUCCGCUUCCUGGACACUACAAAGUGAACAGCUUUGUUAUGUAGUUCCUCUCUGACGCUCUGCCCCAUCAGCCGCCCAAAAGCAGGGAAGAGGCCAGCUGGGCAUGGGUCUGAGCCCUUUGCAACUGUGAGCCAAAUAAAUACUCCCUCUUUUAA
Non-coding RNA from Myodes glareolus (Bank vole), 4638 nucleotides. The record is from RefSeq and is a predicted model, not a curated record. NCBI's taxonomy places the organism in Eukaryota, Metazoa, Chordata, Mammalia, Rodentia, Cricetidae.